This 72-nucleotide transfer RNA is filed under the name Bos taurus (domestic cattle). It matches the Rfam family "tRNA". Rfam says of the family: Transfer RNA (tRNA) molecules are approximately 80 nucleotides in length. Their secondary structure includes four short double-helical elements and three loops (D, anti-codon, and T loops). Lineage: Eukaryota; Metazoa; Chordata; Mammalia; Artiodactyla; Bovidae. The record is from Rfam by way of RNAcentral. RNAcentral also lists the same sequence under 1 other name.
UCCCUGGUAGCUCAGCGGUUAAAGUGUCUGUCUGCAAUGCUGGAGACCCGGGUUUGAUCCCCGGGUUGGGAA